This is a long non-coding RNA of Salvia miltiorrhiza (redroot sage), 479 nucleotides long. RefSeq lists it as uncharacterized. The record is from RefSeq and is a predicted model, not a curated record. Lineage: Eukaryota; Viridiplantae; Streptophyta; Magnoliopsida; Lamiales; Lamiaceae. The transcript is spliced from 4 exons.
AAGCUUUUCUUGAUAACUACAGGAAUCACCCAAUGUUUGCUGACAACGAUCUUUCAGAAUUUGAUGAAUCCAGAGAUAUGAUUGAGAGUCUUGUCGAUGAGUACAAGGCUUGUGAGUCCCCGGAUUACAUCAAGUGGGGAAUGGAGGAUCCGGACCAUCUCAUGUCGGGAGAAGGAAAUGCUACUGGAACAGUGGAUCCAAAGCUAUCAGUUUGAUUCUCUAACCUUUCUGGGAAUUGUGCUCUUGCAGUUAAAGCUGAGUAGGGAAGGUGAAGAUAUGAAUAUCGAUUCUGCUUGUUGAUCGUGUGUAGUGAAAUAUGAGAUUUUCUUUCACUUUUUUUUGGUGUUUCCUUUUGUACUAACUAACAUGUAUGCCUAUGGAAAUCAAUCAUUUCCUCGUGUGAUAUAUACUCUAUUCAAUCUUUACAUUUAAAACAAGUGGUGAAAUUGGUCUUAUGAAACCAUUGAGUUUUGCUCAUA